AGAGUUUGAUCCUGGCUCAGGAUGAACGCUAGCUACAGGCUUAACACAUGCAAGUCGAGGGGCAGCAUGACGGAAGCUUGCUUCUGUUGAUGGCGACCGGCGCACGGGUGAGUAACGCGUAUCCAACCUACCCAAUGCUCGGGCAUAGCCCGUCGAAAGACGGAUUAACUCCCGAUACGUCCUUUGAAGGCAUCUGAUUUGGACGAAAGUUCGCGGCAUUGGAUGGGGAUGCGUCCGAUUAGGUUGUUGGCGGGGUAACGGCCCACCAAGCCGGCGAUCGGUAGGGGUUCUGAGAGGAAGGUCCCCCACACUGGUACUGAGACACGGACCAGACUCCUACGGGAGGCAGCAGUGAGGAAUAUUGGUCAAUGGGCGGAAGCCUGAACCAGCCAAGUAGCGUGCAGGAUGACGGCCCUAUGGGUUGUAAACUGCUUUUGUGCGGGGAUAAAAAGCGGGACGUGUCCCGCCUUGUAGGUACCGCAAGAAAAAGGACCGGCUAAUUCCGUGCCAGCAGCCGCGGUAAUACGGAAGGUCCGGGCGUUAUCCGGAUUUAUUGGGUUUAAAGGGAGCGCAGGCGGCCUGUUAAGCGUGUGGUGAAAUGUAGUCGCUCAACGUCUGCACUGCCACGCGAACUGGCGGGCUUGGGUGCGGUGAACGCUGGCGGAAUUCGUGGUGUAGCGGUGAAAUGCUUAGAUAUCACGAAGAACUCCGAUUGCGAAGGCAGCUGGCGGUACCGUUACCGACGCUCAUGCUCGAAAGUGUGGGUAUCGAACAGGAUUAGAUACCCUGGUAGUCCACACGGUAAACGAUGGAUGCUCGUUGUUCGGCCUUUGGGUCGAGCGGCCAAGGGAAACCGAUAAGCAUCCCACCUGGGGAGUACGCCGGCAACGGUGAAACUCAAAGGAAUUGACG
This 912-nucleotide ribosomal RNA is filed under the name uncultured bacterium. RNAcentral's name for it is "bacterial SSU rRNA". It matches the Rfam family "Bacterial small subunit ribosomal RNA", at positions 8 to 915 of the family's 1533-position model. The record is from RNAcentral.